UAUACGUUAGCUGUCAGCUCUCACUCAGGUUCUAAGACUUUCUUUAAAUACUAACUUAAUUUCAGAUCUGAGGAAUUAAGUACUUAAUAAGGAAUGUUUAAAACAAGGUCUUUCAUAUCAGUGGAGAAGAUUAAUGAUUGCUAAGGAAGAUACCAUAAUUACAUUGGAAAAUAAUUGUUAUAUUUGUUGCCAAAAUUUCAUGUUCAGUUCUGGCUUGAUUUGUUUGUGGGAGUAGAAACAGGAUUCAUUGUUUUACCUGGCUAGCCCGUAACUAACUCGGCAGCACACGUGCAGGAAGACACUGGAGCGACGGUGCUCGCCACUGAGUGGUUUCGGUUAUUAUCAGCUCACUUCAUUUCUGAGUGUUUUGAGUGGAGCAAUGUACAUGUUAAAAGCAUGUUGCAUUAGAUAUAAAUUCAGUUUUUUAAACUCUUACUGCAGAAAUAUUUUUCUUAAACAUAAUAUGUAACAGAAUUCUCCACUUUGCAGUUUAUGUGACCCACAGUUUUAAAGAUAUUCCAUAAAUGUAUAUUUUGUAUUAUGUACCAUUUCCUGGUCCAAAGAAAAUAUGUGAACUCAGUUCUAAUUUUAAGAAUGUACCUUUUGUUUUCUAGUUCUUUGAAAAAUUGCAUUCAGCCUGUGAAUGGUUACAGAUUGUAUGUGAGAUGAAAAGCAGAGAUCUCUGGUUUGCAAAAUCAGUGCCAUGAAAUAAAACAGGCAACUGCAUCA
Molecule: long non-coding RNA, 729 nt
Filed under: Rattus norvegicus (Norway rat)
Lineage: Eukaryota; Metazoa; Chordata; Mammalia; Rodentia; Muridae
Description: long non-coding RNA NONRATT024377
Source: RNAcentral